CUACGGGAGGCAGCAGUGGGGAAUUUUGGACAAUGGGCGCAAGCCUGAUCCAGCAAUGCCGCGUGCAGGAAGAAGGCCUUCGGGUUGUAAACUGCUUUUGUCAGGGAAGAAAUCUUCUGGGCUAAUACCCCGGGAGGAUGACGGUACCUGAAGAAUAAGCACCGGCUAACUACGUGCCAGCAGCCGCGGUAAUACGUAGGGUGCGAGCGUUAAUCGGAAUUACUGGGCGUAAAGCGUGCGCAGGCGGCUUUGCAAGACAGAUGUGAAAUCCCCGGGCUCAACCUGGGAACUGCAUUUGUGACUGCAAGGCUAGAGUACGGCAGAGGGGGAUGGAAUUCCGCGUGUAGCAGUGAAAUGCGUAGAUAUGCGGAGGAACACCAAUGGCGAAGGCAAUCCCCUGGGCCUGUACUGACGCUCAUGCACGAAAGCGUGGGGAGCAAACAGGAUUAGAAACCCUUGUAGUCC
This 465-nucleotide ribosomal RNA is filed under the name uncultured bacterium. RNAcentral's name for it is "bacterial SSU rRNA". It matches the Rfam family "Bacterial small subunit ribosomal RNA", at positions 339 to 796 of the family's 1533-position model. The record is from RNAcentral.